AAUUAUACCGGUGGAAACUGCGAAUGGCUCAUUAAAUCAGUUAUCGUUUAUUUGAUAGUACCUUACUACUUGGAUAACCGUGGUAAUUCUAGAGCUAAUACAUGCUAAAAACCCCAACUUCGGGAGGGGUGUAUUUAUUAGAUAAAAAACCAACGCCCUUCGGGGCUUCUUGGUGAUUCAUGAUAACUUUACGGAUCGCAUGGCCUUGCGCCGGCGACGGUUCAUUCAAAUUUCUGCCCUAUCAACUUUCGAUGGUAAGGUAUUGGCUUACCAUGGUUUCAACGGGUAACGGGGAAUUAGGGUUCGAUUCCGGAGAGGGAGCCUGAGAAACGGCUACCACAUCCAAGGAAGGCAGCAGGCGCGCAAAUUACCCAAUCCCGACACGGGGAGGUAGUGACAAUAAAUACUGAUACAGGGCUCUUUUGGGUCUUGUAAUUGGAAUGAGUACAAUUUAAACCUCUUAACGAGGAACAAUUGGAGGGCAAGUCUGGUGCCAGCAGCCGCGGUAAUUCCAGCUCCAAUAGCGUAUAUUAAAGUUGUUGCAGUUAAAAAGCUCGUAGUUGAAACUUGGGUCUGGCUGGCAGGUCCGCCUCACCGCGUGUACUUGUCCGGCCGGGCCUUCCUUCUGGAGAACCUCAUGCCCUUCACUGGGCGUGUUGGGGACCAGGACUUUUACUUUGAAAAAAUUAGAGUGUUCAAAGCAGGCCUUUGCUCGAAUACGUUAGCAUGGAAUAAUAGAAUAGGACGUGCGGUCCUAUUUUGUUGGUUUCUAGGACCGCCGUAAUGAUUAAUAGGGACAGUCGGGGGCAUCAGUAUUCAAUUGUCAGAGGUGAAAUUCUUGGAUUUAUUGAAGACUAACUACUGCGAAAGCAUUUGCCAAGGAUGUUUUCAUUAAUCAGUGAACGAAAGUUAGGGGAUCGAAGACGAUCAGAUACCGUCGUAGUCUUAACCGUAAACUAUGCCGACUAGGGAUCGGGCGAUGUUCUUUUUCUGACUCGCUCGGCACCUUACGAGAAAUCAAAGUUUUU
Molecule: ribosomal RNA, 1028 nt
Filed under: Phaeosphaeriaceae sp.
Lineage: Eukaryota; Fungi; Ascomycota; Dothideomycetes; Pleosporales; Phaeosphaeriaceae
Description: SSU rRNA
Rfam family: Eukaryotic small subunit ribosomal RNA
Source: RNAcentral